Leptonychotes weddellii (Weddell seal) is the source of this 367-nucleotide non-coding RNA. Lineage: Eukaryota; Metazoa; Chordata; Mammalia; Carnivora; Phocidae. The record is from RefSeq and is a predicted model, not a curated record.
UCUGAAAGGCAUUCUCUGGGAAAAGUCUGUGGAGAAGCGAGGGAUCUUCUUGCAAAUAAUAUGGUCUCGGGCAAAGAUGCAGAAUCUUGGCUGUCUGCUCAAAAAAUGCCUAGACUCUUGGUGGAAAUUGAGUGUCGAGCUGCAAAACCUCAAAUGGCAGAUUAUCAUCAUGUAAGUCUAUCCAGGAAAGGAAGAGAAAGGAUCGAAAGAUUGUUUUUCUGAUUUACCAGGAGAAAAUGGCAUUUUUGUCCAAACUGUCUUGAUUAUGAAGGUAUCGAGCGCCAGGACACCGGAAAAGGCGAUUCCCUGAGUGCCAGGGGUCGGAGACAAUCACCGGAUCAGUCUUCAAGAUCUUUCGAGGUAAGCG